AGAGUUUGAUCAUGGCUCAGAACGAACGUUGGCGGCGUGGAUUAGGCAUGCAAGUCGAACGAAUCCCGGCGGGGGGUAACUCUCGCCGGGGGAAGUGGCGAAAGGGGCAGUAAGGCGUGGGUAACCUACCCCGGGGACCGGGAUAGCCUCCCUAACGGGAGGGUAAUACCGGGCGAUCUGACUCAGGGGCCUCCCUGGAUCAGGAGAUGAGUUUCGCCUCGGGAGGGGCUCACGUGGUAUUAGCUUGACGGCGGGGUAACGGCCCACCGUGGCCAAGAUGCCUAGCGGGUGUGAGAGCACGACCCGCGCCACUGGCACUGCGACACUGGCCAGACUCCUACGGGAGGCUGCAGUCGAGGAUCUUCGGCAAUGGGCGCAAGCCUGACCGAGCGACGCCGCGUGCGCGAUGAAGGCCUUCGGGUUGUAAAGCGCUGUCGAGGGGGAGGAAAGCCGCAAGGCCUGACCUAUCCCUGGAGGAAGCACGGGCUAAGUUCGUGCCAGCAGCCGCGGUAAGACGAACCGUGCGAACGUUGUUCGGAAUCACUGGGCUUAAAGGGCGCGUAGGCGGGCCUCCUUGUCCGGGGUGAAACCUUUCGGCUCAACCGGAAACGUGCCUCGGAAACGGGGGGCCUCGAGGGAGGUAGGGGCGGCCGGAACUUCCGGUGGAGCGGUGAAAUGCGUUGAUAUCGGAAGGAACGCCGGUGGCGAAAGCGGGCCGCUGGAUCUCUACUGAGCUGAGGCGCGAAAGCCAGGGGAGCGAACGGGAUUAGAUACCCUAGUAGUCC
This 785-nucleotide ribosomal RNA is filed under the name uncultured bacterium. RNAcentral's name for it is "bacterial SSU rRNA". It matches the Rfam family "Bacterial small subunit ribosomal RNA", at positions 8 to 796 of the family's 1533-position model. The record is from RNAcentral.